This 253-nucleotide ribosomal RNA is filed under the name uncultured bacterium. RNAcentral describes it as "partial 16S ribosomal RNA". It matches the Rfam family "Bacterial small subunit ribosomal RNA", at positions 524 to 776 of the family's 1533-position model. The record is from RNAcentral.
UACGGGGGGGGUAAGCGUUGUUCGGAAUUACUGGGCGUAAAGGGCUCGUAGGCGGCCAACUAAGUCAGACGUGAAAUCCCCCGGCUUAACCUGGGAACUGCGUCUGAUACUGGACGGCUUGAGUAUGGGAGAGGGAUGUAGAAUUCCAGGUGUAGCGGUGAAAUGCGUAGAUAUCUGGAGGAAUACCGGUGGCGAAGGCGGCAUCCUGGACCAAUAUUGACGCUGAGGAGCGAAAGCCAGGGGAGCAAACGGG